RNAcentral lists this ribosomal RNA (482 nucleotides) under uncultured bacterium. RNAcentral's name for it is "partial 16S ribosomal RNA". It matches the Rfam family "Bacterial small subunit ribosomal RNA", at positions 30 to 507 of the family's 1533-position model. The record is from RNAcentral.
AUUGAACGCUGGCGGCAUGCCUUACACAUGCAAGUCGAGCGGUAACGGGCCUUCGGGUGCCGACGAGUGGCGAACGGGUGAGUAAUACAUCGGAACGUGCCCGAUCGUGGGGGAUAACGAGGCGAAAGCUUUGCUAAUACCGCAUACGAUCUACGGAUGAAAGCAGGGGACCGCAAGGCCUUGCGCGGACGGAGCGGCCGAUGGCAGAUUAGGUAGUUGGUGGGAUAAAAGCUUACCAAGCCGACGAUCUGUAGCUGGUCUGAGAGGAUGAUCAGCCACACUGGGACUGAGACACGGCCCAGACUCCUACGGGAGGCAGCAGUGGGGAAUUUUGGACAAUGGGCGCAAGCCUGAUCCAGCCAUGCCGCGUGCAGGAUGAAGGCCUUCGGGUUGUAAACUGCUUUUGUACGGAACGAAAAGCCUUCUUUUAAUACAGGAGGGUCAUGACGGUACCGUAAGAAUAAGCACCGGCUAACUACGUG